CAAGGAUUCCCCUAGUAACUGCGAGUGAAGCGGGAAGAGCUCAAAUUUUGAAUCUGGCAGUCCUUGGCUGUCCGAGUUGUAAUCUAGAGAAGUGUUUUCCGCGCUGGACCGUGUAUAAGUCUCCUGGAAGGGAGCGUCAUAGAGGGUGAGAAUCCCGUCUUUGACACGGACUACCAGUGCUAUGUGAUGCGCUCUCGACGAGUCGAGUUGUUUGGGAAUGCAGCUCAAAACGGGUGGUAAACUCCAUCUAAAGCUAAAUACAGGCGAGAGACCGAUAGCGAACAAGUACCGUGAGGGAAAGAUGAAAAGAACUUUGGAAAGAGAGUUAAACAGUACGUGAAAUUGCUGAAAGGGAAACGCUUGAUGUCAGUCACGUUGGCUGGGGAUCAACCUUGCUUCUCGCUGGGUGUACUUCCCGGUCGACGGGUCAGCAUCAGUUUCAGUCGCUGUACAAGGGUGAGGGGAACGUGGCACUCCUCGGAGUGUGUUAUAGCCUUUCAUCGUAUGCAGUGGUCGGGACUGAGGAGCUCAGCACGGCUUCUUGCUUGC
Molecule: ribosomal RNA, 549 nt
Filed under: Butyriboletus persolidus
Lineage: Eukaryota; Fungi; Basidiomycota; Agaricomycetes; Boletales; Boletaceae
Description: eukaryotic LSU rRNA
Rfam family: Eukaryotic large subunit ribosomal RNA
Source: RNAcentral